CAGUAGCCGCGGGAAUACAGAGGGUGCGAGCGUUAAUCGGAUUUACUGGGCGUAAAGCGUGCGUAGGCGGCUUUUUAAGUCGGAUGUGAAAGCCCUGGGCUCAACCUGGGAACUGCAUCCAAAACUGGUGAGCUAGAGUACGGUAGAGGGUAGUGGAAUUUCCUGUGUAGCGGUGAAAUGCGUAGAUAUAGGAAGGAACACCAGUGGCGAAGGCGACUACCUGGACUGAUACUGACACUGAGGUGCGAAAGCGUGGGGAGCAAACAGGAUUAGAUACCCCCGUAGUCCCUGUCUCUUAUAC
Molecule: ribosomal RNA, 301 nt
Filed under: uncultured bacterium
Lineage: Bacteria
Description: partial 16S ribosomal RNA
Rfam family: Bacterial small subunit ribosomal RNA
Source: RNAcentral